Molecule: long non-coding RNA, 241 nt
Filed under: Gossypium barbadense (sea-island cotton)
Lineage: Eukaryota; Viridiplantae; Streptophyta; Magnoliopsida; Malvales; Malvaceae
Description: long non-coding RNA (GBAR_LNC011366)
Source: RNAcentral
UUUUUAAGCCAGUGCUUGCUUCAUUAGAAUGCCCUUUAGGGUUUUCAUCCUAAUCUUUUGUGUUAAUCAAGAUGUCCUUUUCGGGUUUUCACCUUGAUCCCUCUCUCUUUUUCUUUUUUCUUUUCUUUUUAAGAUGCCCUUUUUCGGGUUUUCAUCUUGAUUUUCCUUUUUUUAAGCAUAAUAUUUCUUCACAGUAUCUGAAUUCACUGGAUUCGGUAACUCCUUCCCAUCCAUCUCAGUG